Molecule: ribosomal RNA, 447 nt
Filed under: uncultured bacterium
Lineage: Bacteria
Description: bacterial SSU rRNA
Rfam family: Bacterial small subunit ribosomal RNA
Source: RNAcentral
UCGGGAAUUUUGGGCAAUGGGGGAAACCCUGACCCAGCAACGCCGCGUGAAGGAUGAAGUAUUUCGGUAUGUAAACUUCGAAAGAAUAGGAAGAAUAAAUGACGGUACUAUUUAUAAGGUCCGGCUAACUACGUGCCAGCAGCCGCGGUAAUACGUAGGGACCAAGCGUUGUUCGGAUUUACUGGGCGUAAAGGGCGCGUAGGCGGCAUGACAAGUCACUUGUGAAAUCUCUGGGCUUAACCCAGAACGGUCAAGUGAUACUGUCGCGCUAGAGUGCAGAAGGGGCAAUCGGAAUUCUUGGUGUAGCGGUGAAAUGCGUAGAUAUCAAGAGGAACACCUGAGGUGAAGACGGGUUGCUGGGCUGACACUGACGCUGAGGCGCGAAAGCCAGGGGAGCAAACGGGAUUAGAUACCCAUGUAGUCCCUGAGCGGGCUGGCAAGGCGCAU